AACGAACGCUGGCGGCAUGCCUAACACAUGCAAGUCGAACGAGACCUUCGGGUCUAGUGUCGCACGGGUGCGUAACGCGUGGGAACCUGCCCUUAGGUUCGGAAUAACGCCCCGAAAGGGGUGCUAAUACCGGAUAAUGUCUUCGGACCAAAGAUUUAUCGCCUUUGGAUGGGCCCGCGUUGGAUUAGCUAGUUGGUAGGGUAAAAGCCUACCAAGGGGACGAUCCAUAGCUGGUCUGAGAGGAUGAUCAGCCACACUGGGACUGAGACACGGCCCAGACUCCUACGGGAGGCAGCCGUGGGGAAUAUUGGACAAUGGGCGGAAGCCUGAUCCAGCAAUGCCGCGUGAGUGAUGAAGGCCUUAGGGUUGUAAAGCUCUUUUACCCGGGAUGAUAAUGACAGUACCGGGAGAAUAAGCACCGGCUAACUCCGUG
This 433-nucleotide ribosomal RNA is filed under the name uncultured bacterium. RNAcentral describes it as "partial 16S ribosomal RNA". It matches the Rfam family "Bacterial small subunit ribosomal RNA", at positions 29 to 507 of the family's 1533-position model. The record is from RNAcentral.